GAUCAUGGCUCAGGAUGAACGCUGGCGGCGUGCUUAACACAUGCAAGUCGAACGAUGAAGCUGGAGCUUGCUCCGGUGGAUUAGUGGCGAACGGGUGAGUAACACGUGAGCAAUCUGCCCUUGACUCUGGGAUAACUGCGGGAAACUGUAGCUAAUACCGGAUACGACGCCUUGGGGCAUCCCACGGGCGUGGAAAGAAUUUCGGUCAAGGAUGAGCUCGCGGCCUAUCAGCUAGUUGGUGAGGUAAUGGCUCACCAAGGCGACGACGGGUAGCCGGCCUGAGAGGGUGACCGGCCACACUGGAACUGAGAUACGGUCCAGACUCCUACGGGAGGCAGCAGUGGGGAAUAUUGCACAAUGGGCGCAAGCCUGAUGCAGCAACGCCGCGUGAGGGAUGAAGGCCUUCGGGUUGUAAACCUCUUUUAGCAGGGAAGAAGCGAAAGUGACGGUACCUGCAGAAAAAGCACCGGCUAACUACGUG
This 481-nucleotide ribosomal RNA is filed under the name uncultured bacterium. RNAcentral's name for it is "bacterial SSU rRNA". It matches the Rfam family "Bacterial small subunit ribosomal RNA", at positions 15 to 507 of the family's 1533-position model. The record is from RNAcentral.